RNAcentral lists this ribosomal RNA (1671 nucleotides) under Oxyrrhis maritima. RNAcentral's name for it is "SSU rRNA". It matches the Rfam family "Eukaryotic small subunit ribosomal RNA". Lineage: Eukaryota; Dinophyceae; Oxyrrhinales; Oxyrrhinaceae. The record is from RNAcentral.
UGUACCCGAAAAUGCAGCAACUGUGAAAAGCUCCUUAUAAAAGAGAAAAUGAAAAAUAUGGAUAAUAAGAUGGAUAAUCUCUGUAAUUCUGGGACUAAUACAUGCAGCCGAUACAGAAUUCACUGUGUUCAUGUAGCAUAAAACCAUUUCGCUUUCUAGUGAUUUUGCAGCAUUGCAAACAUGCUUACAAUUUGUUCAAUACGUAUACUCAUAUUCUUACCCAUCAGCUGCAGUGUACGCUAGUAGCAUACCAUGGCAAUCACGGGUGACGAAGAAUCAGGGUUUGAUUUCGGAGAAGACGCUUGAGAAAUAGCGACUACAUCUAAGGAUGGCAGCAGGCGCGCAAAUUACCCAAUCUUGACGCAAGGAGGUAGUGACAAAACAUAACUGUGUGUGACGAAUGUUGCAUACUUGGCAUGAGUGGUAGGUCAAAAGUACCACGAGUAGCCAGUGGAGGGCAAGUCUGGUGCCAGCAGCCGCGGUAAUUCCAGCUCCAAGAGUAUAUAUUAGAGUUGUUGCGGUUGAAAAGCUCGUAGUUGGGUGUGUGCUUCGCGAACGUAGACAAUCCCCUGGAUCUGCUUCACGUUGCAGCGAGGCAAAUGGCAUGGCCAUUUUCAUUCUUCAUUGAGUGGAUAUGGUGAUGCCUUGUUACUUUGAGGAAAGUAGAGUGCUACACGCAAGUUGCGCUGUGAACAGAAUAGCAUGGCAUGACAUAAUAUGAUUGCAAAUCUGUGUGAAUGGUUAGUAAGGUAUGUGGAAAUGAUUAACAGGAGAUGUUGGGGGUAUUCAUAUUUGAUAGCUAGAGGUGAAAUUCUCAGAUUUGUCAAAGAUUAACAAAUGCAAAGGCAUUUAUCAUGGAUGUUUCUAUUGAUCAAGAACGAAAGUUAGGGGAUCGAAGAUGAUCAGAUACCGUCCUAGUCUUAACUUUAAACGAUGCCGACUGGAAAUUGGACAUUAUAAAUACAUUAUCAAAUCAGCAUUGUGCCUGAAAAGUGUAAGUCUGUGGGCUCUGGGGGGAGUAUAGUCGCAAGACUGAAACUUAAAGGAAUUGACGGAAGGGCACCACCAGGAGUGGAGCCUGCGGCUUAAUUUGACUCAACACGGGGAACCUCACCAGGUCCAGACAUGCGCAGGAUUGACAGAUUGAGAGCUCUUUCUAGAUUGUAUGGGUGGUGGUGCAUGGCCGUUCUUAGUUGGUGGAGUGAUUUGUCUGGUUAAUUCCGUUAACGAACGAGAUCCAAAUUUGCUAACUAUAGCUGCUUCACGCUGGAUGCAAGCACACAUAGAGGGACGUUGCAUGAGUAAAGCGCGGAAGAGUUGGGCAAUAACAGGUCUGUGAUGCCCUUCGAUGUUUUGGGCUGCACGCGCGCUACACUGGUGCAAGCAGCACAUCAUUGUGGUGGAUAUGCUACAUGGAUUAUGAAAUCGUAUCGUUCCGGGAAUAGAUGUUUGUAAUUCUUGAUCUUCAACGAGGAAUUCCUAGUAAGUACAAAUCAACAGUUUGUGCUGAUUACGUCCCCUCCCUUUGUACACACCGCCCGUCGCUCCUACCGAUUGAGUGAUUCGGUGAAUGGUGAAGAUUGCGCGUAGAAAUCUUUCUCACGUGCAAAAACUACCGUAAACCACAGCGCUUAGAGGAAGGAGAAGUCGUAACAAGGUUUCCGUAGGUGA